UUAUUUUAGAGUUUGGAUCAUGGCUCAGGAUGAACGCUAGCGGCAGGCCUAACACAUGCAAGUCGAGGGGCAGCGGGGAAAAGCUUGCUUUUCCGCCGGCGACCGGCGCACGGGUGCGCAACGCGUAUAGAAUCUGCCCCUUACCGGGGAAUAGCCCAGGGAAACUUGGAUUAAUGCCCCAUGGUAUAUGUUGACGGCAUCGUUUUCAUAUUAAAGGUUACGGUAAGGGAUGACUAUGCGUCCCAUUAGUUAGUUGGUAAGGUAACGGCUUACCAAGGCAGCGAUGGGUAGGGGCCCUGAGAGGGGGAUCCCCCACACUGGUACUGAGACACGGACCAGACUCCUACGGGAGGCAGCAGUGAGGAAUAUUGGACAAUGGGCGAAAGCCUGAUCCAGCCAUGCCGCGUGCAGGAAGACGGCCCUAUGGGUUGUAAACUGCUUUUGUACGGGAAGAAACCCGCCCACGUGUGGGCGAUUGACGGUACCGUAAGAAUAAGGACCGGCUAACUCCGUGCCAGCAGCCGCGGUAAUACGGAGGGUCCGAGCGUUAUCCGGAAUUAUUGGGUUUAAAGGGUCCGUAGGCGGGCCGUUAAGUCAGGGGUGAAAUGCUGCGGCUCAACCGUAGCACUGCCUUUGAUACUGGCGGUCUUGAGUUAUGGUGAAGUUGCCGGAAUAUGUGGUGUAGCGGUGAAAUGCAUAGAGAUCACAUAGAACACCGAUUGCGAAGGCAGGUGACUAACCAUAUACUGACGCUGAUGGACGAAAGCGUGGGGAGCGAACGGGAUUAGAUACCCCGGUAGUCCACGCCGUAAACGAUGGAUACUAGCUGUCCGGUACCUUGAGUACUGGGCGGCCAAGCGAAAGUGAUAAGUAUCCCACCU
This 881-nucleotide ribosomal RNA is filed under the name Kriegella sp. RNAcentral describes it as "bacterial SSU rRNA". It matches the Rfam family "Bacterial small subunit ribosomal RNA", at positions 1 to 874 of the family's 1533-position model. Lineage: Bacteria; Pseudomonadati; Bacteroidota; Flavobacteriia; Flavobacteriales; Flavobacteriaceae. The record is from RNAcentral.